CAAUAGCGUAUAUUAAAGUUGUUGCAGUUAAAAAGCUCGUAGUUGGAUUUCUGGCAGGAGUGACCGGCCGCACACACUGUGUGCGAGUUGCGUCAUUCUGGCCAUCCUUGGUGAGAUCCUGUUUGGCAUUAAGUUGUCGGGCAGGGGAUAACCAUCGUUUACUGUGAAAAAAUUAGAGUGUUUAAAGCAGGCUUAUGCCGUUGAAUAUAUUAGCAUGGAAUAAUAAGAUAGGACUUUGAGUCUAUUUUGUUGGUUUGCGAGUCAAAGUAAUGAUUAAUAGGGACAGUUGGGGGUAUUCGUAUUUCACUGUCAGAGGUGAAAUCUUGGUAUUCUUGAAAGAACGAACUAACUGCGAAAGACAUUUACCUAAGGAAGUGUUUUCUAUUAAUUCAAGAAACGAAAGUUAGGGGAGUCGAAGACGAUCAGAUACCAU
This 433-nucleotide ribosomal RNA is filed under the name uncultured eukaryote. RNAcentral's name for it is "bacterial SSU rRNA". It matches the Rfam family "Eukaryotic small subunit ribosomal RNA", at positions 592 to 1018 of the family's 1831-position model. The record is from RNAcentral.